CGCGUAGGCGGUGCGGUAAGUCACCUGUGAAACCUCCGGGCUCAACUCGGAGCCUGCAGGCGAAACUGCCGUGCUGGAGUGUGGGAGGGGUGCGUGGAAUUCCCGGUGUAGCAGUGAAAUGCGUAGAGAUCGGGAGGAACACCUGUGGCGAAAGCGGCGCACUGGACCACAACUGACGCUGAGGCGCGAAAGCUAGGGGAGCAAACAGGAUUAGAUACCCUGGUAGUCCUAGUCCUAAACGAUGGAUGCUUGGUGUAGCCGGUACCCAAUCCGGCUGUGCCGCAGCUAACGCGAUAAGCAUCCCGCCUGGGGAGUACGGUCGCAAGGCUGAA
This 332-nucleotide ribosomal RNA is filed under the name uncultured bacterium. RNAcentral describes it as "bacterial SSU rRNA". It matches the Rfam family "Bacterial small subunit ribosomal RNA", at positions 568 to 898 of the family's 1533-position model. The record is from RNAcentral.